Triticum aestivum (bread wheat) is the source of this 1933-nucleotide long non-coding RNA. RefSeq lists it as uncharacterized. The record is from RefSeq and is a predicted model, not a curated record. NCBI's taxonomy places the organism in Eukaryota, Viridiplantae, Streptophyta, Magnoliopsida, Poales, Poaceae. The transcript has 2 exons.
UGGAGAGGCCCAAAAUUUUCACGCACGUAGUCUCUCUCAAUCUCUCAAUCUCUCACGUCUCUCUUUCUAUCUCAGGUCUCUCUUUCUCCCCACAUGAAAAACAGAUCAGGCCGUCUCCCGUAGGUCUCCUUCGGACGCCGCCCUUCCCAACCGCAGCUGCAUCCAGCAUCCCCAGCUGCCGCUCUUCCUAAUCCUCUUUCUUGAUGAGUGUUAUCUUUGGGACGUUUCUGCCUUCGGUCUUUCAUCCACGCUGGAAUCGAUCUGAAGAAACUAGGACUGAAUCUGUCCAAUAUGGUUGAUGCAUCGGAGGAGGCGUACCAUGUACCACAACAGUUUGAAGCAGAUUGUGCUGAUCGCCCCUGCAUCCAUUAGCACGCAAGUAACUAGGUAUCCUUGAAUUUCCUGAUUUGGAUAAUUUCUACUCCUAAAAUUUAUCUCUAAUACUCUGUCCAGAAGGUUGGUGCUAGCUCUGCAAUUUUGAAAGGCUGAUUUGUGGCAAGUGCGUGUCUAAGUAAACUUGGAUUUGUGGUUUUGUAAGGCUGAUGAGGAUGACGGAUGAUAUAGGCUGAUUUUUUUUCAUCCGCUAUGAGGCACUUCAGCCCGGCCCUUGCCUACGCCAUAAUCCGAGCUGCUUAGUGUGUACCUCUCAAUGCCCCAGCCGGAAGCCCGGAACAACCAUGACCAUGUACCUGUUGGGGAUAACCUCUCGGCGACUCCAAUGUUUUAUUACGAUCUCUCUACUAGGCAUACCAUAGAUCGUGAAGUGUGGCAUCAAGAACCUCAGCACGCUGCAGGAGAAGACGAUGAAGAUCAGCAAGGAAGUGGUCGGUGGUGUGCUUCAAUCUCUUCUACGAGGUUUGUACUGUUGAUUGAUUUUUUCUGUUAUCUCAUGUCAUAUCUGUGAGUCGUCGACCCGGCAAUGGCAGUUGCGGAUGCGUUGGCCUCAUCCCCACCGGAAAUCCACUUUAAGCGCGAACUUAGUGGGCAUGAGCAAACUAGUCUAGCGGUUUUGCGACAACUGAUUAGCCCGAUAGGUCUCUCGGACCAGCCAGACACGGUAAGUUGGGCGCUCACCGGGUCGGGCAAGUUCAUGGUUAAAUCCUUAUAUCACAAAAUGUGCCAAGGGCCAGCUCAACUUGUGGUCAAAAGGGCUGUGGAAAGCGCGGCUGCCUUUGAAGAUAAAACUAUUCCUUUGGCAAAUGUUCCGCAAUAAACUUCCCACCUCCCUGAGCAUAGCCAAACGCAAUGGUCCGGCCACCGACCCUUGCGCGUUGUGCGGUGCACAUGAAGAUGCCAAUCACGUCUUCUUUCGGUGCCCACUAGCGAGGUUUGCGUGGAACGCGGUUCGUACCGCGACAGGUGUCCAGUGGGACCCUCGAUCUGCGGCAGAGCUAAUUCAGUUAUUAGAUGCGAUCCAGGGCCCUGUUAAACGUGUAAUGUGGAGCUGUGCAGGGGCACUCCUUUGGGCUUUGUGGUUAACUAGGAACAAACUUACCAUCGAGGGAUGUUUUCCAUCACAUCCGGCUAAUGUUAUCUACAAAUGCAACCUAUUCUUGCAACAGUGGAGUCCGUUUGGGAGGCGCAAGGAUGCUGAGAUGCUCAAGACUGCCCAAGACCUUUUGAUCCAAGUGUACGUGCUUGCUAGGGAGCCUUCGACCACAUAUUAGGAUGUGGUGUAUUUUGGUGCUUGACGAGCCUGCGCGCUCUGUACGGGCCUACGCCUUGUAAGACUGCUCGUGGCAUGUGUGCCCUUCGUCGUAACUGCAACGGUUCAUGCUUGCGAGGGCCUGAAUGGCUUUUGGUGUUGUAUUAAGACUUGUGUUCUGAUACGCUGCUUGUUGGGGGCUUUAUUAAGUUAAAGCUGGACGCAUCUAGCGUCUUCGUUCUAAAAAAAACCAACGAUCUAGCCAUCAGCGGCUGGAUUUUUCUUUUA